GGAGGAUGCGAGCGUUAUCCGGAUUCAUUGGGUUUAAAGGGUGCGUAGGCGGACUUAUAAGUCAGUGGUGAAAACCUGCAGCUUAACUGUAGACGUGCCAUUGAUACUGUUAGUCUUGAGUAUGGUCAAGGUAGGCGGAAUGUGUAAUGUAGCGGUGAAAUGCUUAGAUAUUACACAGAACACCGAUUGCGAAGGCAGCUUACUGGGCCAUUACUGACGCUGAUGCACGAAAGCGUGGGGAGCGAACAGGAUUAGAUACCCUGGUAGUCCACGCCGUAAACGAUGAUCACUCGCUGUUGGCGAUACACAGUCAGCGGCUAAGCAAAAGCAUUAAGUGAUCCACCUGGGGAGUACGGCCGCAAGGCUGAA
This 369-nucleotide ribosomal RNA is filed under the name uncultured bacterium. RNAcentral describes it as "bacterial SSU rRNA". It matches the Rfam family "Bacterial small subunit ribosomal RNA", at positions 527 to 898 of the family's 1533-position model. The record is from RNAcentral.